RNAcentral lists this ribosomal RNA (501 nucleotides) under uncultured bacterium. RNAcentral describes it as "bacterial SSU rRNA". It matches the Rfam family "Bacterial small subunit ribosomal RNA", at positions 29 to 528 of the family's 1533-position model. The record is from RNAcentral.
AUUGAACGCUGGCGGCAUGCCUUACACAUGCAAGUCGAACGGCAGCACGGGAGCAAUCCUGGUGGCGAGUGGCGAACGGGUGAGUAACAUAUCGGAACGUGCCCGGUAGUGGGGGAUAACCCGGCGAAAGUCGGACUAAUACCGCAUACGACCUACGGGUGAAAGCGGGGGAUCGCAAGACCUCGCGCUAUUGGAGCGGCCGAUAUCAGAUUAGCUAGUUGGUGGGGUAAAGGCCUACCAAGGCGACGAUCUGUAGCUGGUCUGAGAGGACGACCAGCCACACUGGGACUGAGACACGGCCCAGACUCCUACGGGAGGCAGCAGUGGGGAAUUUUGGACAAUGGGCGCAAGCCUGAUCCAGCCAUGCCGCGUGCGGGAAGAAGGCCUUCGGUUGUAACCGCUUUGUCAGGAGAAAGGUUACGAGCUAAUACCUCGGACUAAUGACGGUACCUGAAGAAUAAGACACCGGCUAACUACGUGCCAGCAGCCGCGGUAAACUGU